CUGCGCUGCGCACCUGCGGGGCGCCGAGCGGGGCGGGUGAGGAGGAGGAGGAGGAAGAGGAGGAGGAGGAGGCGGCCGGAGGUGCGGAGCCAGCCGGCGGCCGCGCAGCCCGCCCCCGGCUUGGCCAGCCGGCGCGGCCCCGAGGAGAUGGAGCAGGAGAAGUACCUGCCCGAGCUGAUGGCAGAGAAGGACAGCCUGGAUCCCUCCUUUGUUCACGCCAUGCGCCUGCUGGCCGACGAAAUCGAAAAAUUUCAGGGUUCUGAAGGCAAGAAGGAAGAUGAAGAAAAGAAAUAUCUUGAUGUUAUCAGCAACAAAAACAUAAAGCUGUCAGAAAGAGUUCUGAUACCUGUCAAACAAUAUCCAAAGUUCAAUUUUGUUGGGAAAUUGCUUGGACCAAGAGGAAACUCCUUGAAGCGGUUACAAGAAGAAACAGGUGCAAAAAUGUCUAUCUUGGGGAAAGGCUCCAUGAGGGAUAAAGCAAAGGAGGAAGAACUGAGAAAAAGUGGAGAAGCCAAAUAUGCACACUUGAGUGAUGAGCUUCAUGUAUUAAUUGAAGUGUUUGCUCCACCUGGGGAAGCAUAUUCUCGUAUGAGUCAUGCCUUGGAAGAAAUAAAAAAAUUCCUCGUUCCAGAUUAUAAUGAUGAAAUUCGUCAGGAGCAGCUGAGAGAGCUAUCAUAUUUGAAUGGUUCUGAGGAUUCAGCACGUGGACGGGGUAUUCGAGGAAGAGGGAUCCGUGUGCCACCUGCAGCUCCUUCAAGGGGCCGUGGAGGUGCGAUUCCUCCACCCCCACCUGGACGAGGUGCCCAAGCCCCCAGAGGAACACCAGUGACACGUGGAGCACUUCCCGUCCCACCAGUAGCGAGGGGUGUUCCUACCCCUCGAGCAAGGGGUGCCCCAGCAGUCCCAGGCUACAGACCACCCCCGCCACCUGCACAUGAGGCAUAUGAAGAAUAUGGAUAUGAUGAUGGAUAUGGGGGUGAAUAUGAUGAUCCAAGCUAUGAGGCAUAUGAUAACAGUUAUGCCACCCAAACACAAAGACAGAGGGUUCUGUCCUCCAUGACAGCAGUCUGAUUUCAGACUGAUAACAGGGGGAUGGGGUCACUUGUAGAAGAAACCAUGACAGAACCUUGGGAUCAGACUAGAAUGAAGCCUACAGUAAUCUUCAAGGCUGAAUGAGCUAAGAGACAUCUCAAGAGCACUGAAAUGGAUACAAAAGCAACUUGAAGAAGGACAACCUGAUCAUUGCUAUGCAGGUACUUAUAAGUCUGUUGAGCCACCACCGUUGUCCAGGAUUCAUAGGAUGAGAACACUAGAUCACCAGGCGAAGAGGAUGAAAUCUUUUGUGAGAGGAUCUAAAAGAACUGCCUGUUUCUUUACAGUCUGAUAGAGGAUCAGACUGUACUGCAUGCAAAGCAUGGCCAAACACCUCAGCCAAGACCAAGAAAGUGAUUUUGCAGAAGUAGAUCAGUUGCUGGUGAAUCAGCUGAGAACCCUGAUGGCUAGCAGAGCCACAUUCAGCUCUGCUACUACAUCUGUAGUCAUCUCCACUGACCUUUGUGUCUCUACUAGCACCAUCAGUUUAAUUUCAAAGGUACCAUGUCUCACAGCAAAAAAGAGAUAUUAAGGAAUUCUGUGACUGACGGACCAAUCAGGGGACAAAACAGAAAGGGUAUAUUCUAUUUAAACCACUUGCGCAUAACCUAACCAACCACAUGCAGUGUAAACAAUGGUGCCUGUAAGGGAAACAAAAAAAGAAGUCAAUGAUGCUUAAAUUUUGGGUUUGAUAUAAUUUCCCUGUUCCACAGCAUCUGGCAUGAACACUCAAACACUGAGUCCUUUUUUUUUUUUUUUUUUGUGACCGGGUAGCUGGUACAUUGGCAAAGGCUUCCUGGGCUGCUUUCCUCUUUUUUGUUCUGUCUGUCUGAGCAGGUGUUUAUUAAAGAAAGAAAAGUCUGUGACUCCCAUCCUAAGCUUUAAAUAGGCCUGAAAAAAAAAAUCACAAAACCUGUAAUGUACUAAAAAGAAUAAAUAAUUUAGUGACGAAAGAUAGAGGAAAAUAGUGCAAACCAUUGCUGAGUUACAGAUCCCACCCCAUAGUUGCACAGGCCACCUCAUGACAUCUUAUCUAUGUUGUAUGCUGCACCAUUACAUAGAUAAAGAUCAUUCCUCUUGCCAGCCUGGACCCAGCCCCACUAAUGGUAACAUCCCAGUUUUAGGACCUUGAAGCAGUUUUUGGCAAAAUAUUUACUGUUAAUCUUGCAAAUUUGUUAUGUAAUACUAUAGGCAACGGUCCUCUAGACAUGUGUUCCAUGCUGGCAUACAGAUCAUUUUGGGACAGCGAUUUGGUUUUAGUUUGUCAGAUGCACACUGCAAACCCAGACGCUAAGCCAAUAACCAAACUUCUGUUUCUGAUGCUGUUUAAGAUGCUAAUGGUAAUACAGAAUCUAAUCUUAGCAUAAAAUGUCAUUAAUGUGUCUGAAAUACAUUCUAAGCUUUUACAUGAUCUGAAGACUUAUACAUAGUGUUGAUAAAAGCUGAUACAUAUCUAUCUUAGAGGACUGAAGAAGAAGAAAGGAAA
Molecule: RNA transcript, 2578 nt
Organism: Cygnus olor (mute swan)
Lineage: Eukaryota; Metazoa; Chordata; Aves; Anseriformes; Anatidae
Gene: KHDRBS2
Gene name: KH RNA binding domain containing, signal transduction associated 2
Exons: 9
Source: RefSeq, a predicted model, not a curated record